AAGCGGGAGGAAGGUGAAACUGCGGAGGAUCAUUAUCAUUAUAACAAGACGCAUUAGGGGCUGUCGCUGACCCUUUUUNAAAGGUCGUGCACGCCUUUAGUGUUCUCAAACNAUCCCAUCUCUCUCUCACCCUUGUGCAUCACCGCGUGGGCUUCGUUAAACGGGCUUGCGUUUUUCACACAGACCACCCGUAGUCUUAGAAUGGUCUCCUUUAUGCGAUUACUACGCAACCUAAUAUAACUUUCAACAACGGAUCUCUUGGCUCUCGCAUCGAUGAAGAACGCAGCGAAACGCGAUAUGUAAUGUGAAUUGCAGAAUUCAGUGAAUCAUCGAAUCUUUGAACGCAUCUUGCGCCCCUUGGCAUUCCGAGGGGCACACCCGUUUGAGUGUCGUGAAAUCCUCAACCUUCACUGUUUCUUUCAUCAGUGAAGGCUUGGACUUUUGGAGGUUAUUGCUGGCCUCUCUAUCUGAAGUCAGCUCCUCUUAAACCGAUUAGUAGGGUUCCUUAUGCCCAUCCUUGGACCGUGAUAACUCGCUUCUACGUCCUUGGGUACUUGGCCUUGCUUCAUACUAGUGAUAAUGACCUCGAGGGCUUUUGAACUCGUGCGUUAUUAUUAAACCCCCCCUUUCUUUUUGACCUCAAAUCGGGUGAGACUACCCGCUGAACUUAAGCAUAUCAAUAAGCCGAAGGA
This 692-nucleotide small RNA is filed under the name Lactifluus sp. C1819. RNAcentral's name for it is "eukaryotic LSU rRNA". The stretch from base 239 to 392 matches the Rfam family "5.8S ribosomal RNA". The record is from RNAcentral. Lineage: Eukaryota; Fungi; Basidiomycota; Agaricomycetes; Russulales; Russulaceae.